This 1371-nucleotide ribosomal RNA is filed under the name Latilactobacillus sakei. RNAcentral's name for it is "bacterial SSU rRNA". It matches the Rfam family "Bacterial small subunit ribosomal RNA", at positions 59 to 1411 of the family's 1533-position model. The record is from RNAcentral. Lineage: Bacteria; Bacillati; Bacillota; Bacilli; Lactobacillales; Lactobacillaceae.
AGAUUGAAGGAGCUUGCUCCUGAUUGAUAAACAUUUGAGUGAGUGGCGGACGGGUGAGUAACACGUGGGUAACCUGCCCUAAAGUGGGGGAUAACAUUUGGAAACAGAUGCUAAUACCGCAUAAAACCUAACACCGCAUGGUGUAGGGUUGAAAGAUGGUUUCGGCUAUCACUUUAGGAUGGACCCGCGGUGCAUUAGUUAGUUGGUGAGGUAAAGGCUCACCAAGACCGUGAUGCAUAGCCGACCUGAGAGGGUAAUCGGCCACACUGGGACUGAGACACGGCCCAGACUCCUACGGGAGGCAGCAGUAGGGAAUCUUCCACAAUGGACGAAAGUCUGAUGGAGCAACGCCGCGUGAGUGAAGAAGGUUUUCGGAUCGUAAAACUCUGUUGUUGGAGAAGAAUGUAUCUGAUAGUAACUGAUCAGGUAGUGACGGUAUCCAACCAGAAAGCCACGGCUAACUACGUGCCAGCAGCCGCGGUAAUACGUAGGUGGCAAGCGUUGUCCGGAUUUAUUGGGCGUAAAGCGAGCGCAGGCGGUUUCUUAAGUCUGAUGUGAAAGCCUUCGGCUCAACCGAAGAAGUGCAUCGGAAACUGGGAAACUUGAGUGCAGAAGAGGACAGUGGAACUCCAUGUGUAGCGGUGAAAUGCGUAGAUAUAUGGAAGAACACCAGUGGCGAAGGCGGCUGUCUGGUCUGUAACUGACGCUGAGGCUCGAAAGCAUGGGUAGCAAACAGGAUUAGAUACCCUGGUAGUCCAUGCCGUAAACGAUGAGUGCUAGGUGUUGGAGGGUUUCCGCCCUUCAGUGCCGCAGCUAACGCAUUAAGCACUCCGCCUGGGGAGUACGACCGCAAGGUUGAAACUCAAAGGAAUUGACGGGGGCCCGCACAAGCGGUGGAGCAUGUGGUUUAAUUCGAAGCAACGCGAAGAACCUUACCAGGUCUUGACAUCCUUUGACCACUCUAGAGAUAGAGCUUUCCCUUCGGGGACAAAGUGACAGGUGGUGCAUGGUUGUCGUCAGCUCGUGUCGUGAGAUGUUGGGUUAAGUCCCGCAACGAGCGCAACCCUUAUUACUAGUUGCCAGCAUUAAGUUGGGCACUCUAGUGAGACUGCCGGUGACAAACCGGAGGAAGGUGGGGACGACGUCAAAUCAUCAUGCCCCUUAUGACCUGGGCUACACACGUGCUACAAUGGAUGGUACAACGAGUUGCGAGACCGCGAGGUUUAGCUAAUCUCUUAAAACCAUUCUCAGUUCGGAUUGUAGGCUGCAACUCGCCUACAUGAAGCCGGAAUCGCUAGUAAUCGCGGAUCAGCAUGCCGCGGUGAAUACGUUCCCGGGCCUUGUACACACCGCCCGUCACACCAUGAGAGU